RNAcentral lists this ribosomal RNA (498 nucleotides) under uncultured bacterium. RNAcentral describes it as "partial 16S ribosomal RNA". It matches the Rfam family "Bacterial small subunit ribosomal RNA", at positions 28 to 523 of the family's 1533-position model. The record is from RNAcentral.
GAUGAACGCUGGCGGCAUGCUUUACACAUGCAAGUCGAACGGUAACAGGCCGCAAGGUGCUGACGAGUGGCGAACGGGUGAGUAAUGCAUCGGAACGUGCCCAGUCGUGGGGGAUAACGCAGCGAAAGCUGUGCUAAUACCGCAUACGAUCUAUGGAUGAAAGCGGGGGACCGUAAGGCCUCGCGCGAUUGGAGCGGCCGAUGUCAGAUUAGGUAGUUGGUGGGGUAAAGGCUCACCAAGCCAACGAUCUGUAGCUGGUCUGAGAGGACGACCGGCCAAGCUGGGACUGAGACACGGCCCAGACUCCUACGGGAGGCAGCAGUGGGGAAUUUUGGACAAUGGGCGCAAGCCUGAUCCAGCAAUGCCGCGUGCAGGAAGAAGGCCUUCGGGUUGUAAACUGCUUUUGUACGGAACGAAACGGCGAGCUCUAAUACAGUUUGCUAAUGACGGUACCGUAAGAAUAAGCACCGGCUAACUACGUGCCAGCCGCCGCCGUAA